RNAcentral lists this ribosomal RNA (433 nucleotides) under uncultured bacterium. RNAcentral describes it as "partial 16S ribosomal RNA". It matches the Rfam family "Bacterial small subunit ribosomal RNA", at positions 29 to 507 of the family's 1533-position model. The record is from RNAcentral.
AACGAACGCUGGCGGCAUGCCUAACACAUGCAAGUCGAACGAAACCUUCGGGUCUAGUGGCGCACGGGUGCGUAACGCGUGGGAACCUGCCCUUAGGUUCGGAAUAACUCCCCGAAAGGGGUGCUAAUACCGGAUAAUGUCUUCGGACCAAAGAUUUAUCGCCUUUGGAUGGGCCCGCGUUGGAUUAGCCAGUUGGUAGGGUAAAAGCCUACCAAGGCGACGAUCCAUAGCUGGUCGGAGAGGAUGAUCAGCCACACUGGGACUGAGACACGGCCCAGACUCCUACGGGAGGCAGCAGUGGGGAAUAUUGGACAAUGGGCGAAAGCCUGAUCCAGCAAUGCCGGGUGAGUGAUGAAGGCCUUAGGGUUGUAAAGCUCUUUUACCCGGGAUGAUAAUGACAGUACCGGGAGAAUAAGCUCCGGCUAACUCCGUG